Long non-coding RNA from Alligator mississippiensis (American alligator), 2668 nucleotides. RefSeq lists it as uncharacterized. The record is from RefSeq and is a predicted model, not a curated record. The transcript is spliced from 3 exons. NCBI's taxonomy places the organism in Eukaryota, Metazoa, Chordata, Crocodylia, Alligatoridae.
CCUUACCCAAUUAUUUUUGUUUUGAAUCACGUCUGAAGUCGAAGGGUUUGGGAUUUUUGUUAUACAAUGGAGUCUUUCCUGAGGCAGUAACUCCCUUGACAAGAAUAAGGAUAGCAGUUUGGUGAUGUCUUGUUUACUUAAGCAUGGGAAGGUAAAGCCAGAGACAUCAAACAGACUGAGAAGGAAGUUGCAACUUGAUAAGUCCUUAACACUUGCUAGCAAAAUAUAAUGCAUACAGGACUGUAACAGCCAUCUUAGUCAUUGCACUUUACCGCCCUAUUUAGUGGCAUUCAGAUUAGUGCCCUGCUACGCUGAUCCCUCCAAAUUCUUCACCUCUCCCUGCAAAUGUGAUGCUGAGCUCUUUACAGGCACCUGUUAAUGAAUCCUGGCAAUACAUGUUCAAGCAGGCAAGAAAGAGGGUUCCCAAUUUGCAGAUGAGGAAACAGGCACAGCAAAGUGUGAAGAUGAAGUCUUUUGCCCUUACUCUUAUCCUUUUACCCACACUGGUAGUACAUCAUUCCAUGAGGCUUAAAUGUGGCUCUUGAAGGAGCAAGACGCUACUCAGCAUAAUUAAGGGUGGCAAAACUCUGGCUUUCCCUGUCUUGUUCAAUACCAUACUCCAAGUCCAUGGCAAGUGGGAUUAUCAGUCAGGAAUUCUUACUUCCCCAUCUUAUUAUCAGGCCUUUUUUUUCCUGAAGAAAUUUCCUGUCUUUUCUCUAGUUUCUAAUGACCAGGAAGGCAAUUCCCUAAAUGCAAUUAGCUGCUAUCUUGCUAUCUACCUACAGGUUUUGCAGAGGGCUCAUCAUUAUCAUUUCUAAGCAUUUAUAUCUCUCCUUUCACUUCUGCAUCUCUGUCUCCCAUCAAAAGUCUUCCAGACUUUUUGAGCUAUUUAUACCACCUGGGUGCCAGUCAGAACUGCAGGAGCAGAGGUUGUUCAUAUCUGGUCACUCCUGAAAGACAGCGGUUAAGAGGCAGAGUCAGAGCAGGCUGACCACUGGAGCUGGUUGGUUGUGCAGGAACUGAGUAUGCAGCAACUUUUAAAGGACAGUAGCAAAUGACGUCCUCCAGUGCUGUCUGUGCAACCAGGAAGCUCUGGAGUUGUGCCUCUGAAACAGAAUAGGUCUGGUGCUGCCCCAAACGGGCAGGCACUGCGCCUCACUAAGGCUGUGGCUAACUGCCAUAUUCUAGUCCAUUAAAAUCAUAAGGAUUGGGAGAAUGCCUGCUGACCUGGAGCUUCCACCAGAUUGACAGUCUUUUUUUAUUCUGGGGAGGAUGGAUUCACUGCCUCCCAGCUAACCAAAUAUUUUGUGCAAUACAGAGUAUUCAAGCUUCUUUGAAAGAAACUACCAUCAACAGAAAAAUCCAAGGCUGAAAGGAUCAGCCAAUGGAAGAAAAGAAUGGCAUGAGAGAGGACUUCUGUAUUUAAUGACAGGUGUCACUCCAGAAGGCUAUCCCAAAGUAAUCCUGAUGGACACAGCAUCAAGUAAUAUCACAGUCCAUAUUCAAGAUGGCAUUCUAAAAACUACUACAUACAGAAAACCCACAGAACACCAUACCUAUGUCCACAAGAUCAGCAAUCAUCCCAAGCACACCAAAAAAGCUGUUUUCUGCAGCUGGGCCCUCAUAUACCACCUCAACUUUUCUGAGGAGAACAUUCUUGAUGCCCACCUGACCAGCCUAAAAUCUGCCUUUAUACAUACAACAGGGAUACUCCAUUAGGCAAAUAAAUGGCACAUUUGAAAGAACUAUCCAAAUAUGCUGUAGUAACUUGCUACAGUACAAAAAGAAAACUUCAUGCAACCACACAUCCUUGGUGGUCCCCUACCACCCCACACUGGAACAUAUCAGAAGAACCAUCAGAAAAAACAUCCUAUACUCAACAAAGAUCAGACCUUGAGAGAAGUAUUCCCAGCUCCUCCGUUUGUGGCUUUGAAGAAGCCCCCUAACCUUGCCCAACUCAUCAUCAGAAGCAAACUCCCCACUGCCCAACAGACGUCAAGUGGAACACAGCCUUGCCUUGGCAAGAAAUACUUAACCUGUCAGCACACUUCCACUGCCACUACUAUCAAAAGCCCCCCAGCAGAAACCAUGGUUCCUACACAUGCCUUUCCCAAAAUGUGAUACACCUGAUCCAGUGCACCAAGUGCCCUCACAGCAACUAUGUAGGUGAAACUAAACAGCAACUAUGCACCAGAAUGAACACUCACAGGAAAAAAUAUAAAGGAUGGAGACGUCCAUACCAUCAGGAGCACAUUUCUCACAUAACAGCCACUCCUUCUUUGACCUUAUUAGUCUUGUGCUCAAGGGAAAUCUACCUAAUAUCUUUAACUGGUGAACUUGGAAACAAAAAUUCAUAAGCUGGCUGCACAGUAACAACCAAGGACUAAACACCGAUAUUGGGUUUAUGGCACAUUAUAAUUUAUCCAACUCCUGAAUUCUUCUACGCAGGGAAGGUAAGAAUGACCCUCCUCCAUUUUCAUAGCACUUGAUCUCCCAGUAAUCCACUUCAUUUCUUCUGCUAAUUGUGUGUCUGCUAUCCCUGAGAUUUCUCCCAGUCCCUUCCCUCUGCUGUACCUGGCUUUCUGUGAUCAGAUUUGAUGAAGAUGUCUUGCGUUCAAUAGCUUGUCCAUCUUUAUCCCAACUUCGUAGUUGGUUCAAUAAAAGAUAU